UAAUGUUUUGUAAAUGGAGCCGCUCUGCAUAUGUCCAGUAUGGGUACUUCCUGCCGGGAUGUUGUAAAGGCAGCUUAUGCUCUUGUGGAAUGUGCUCUUACCUCAGGCAGAGGGAAAUGUGCUAAUUCAUAGCACAUGAUGAUGUAACCAGAACUCCAUUAGGAGAUUCUCUGAGAGGAUAUAGCUUGUCCUCGAGUCCAUUCCACUAUAGCAAGAAAUAGCCUAAAUGAUUUUCUGACAAAUGUGGUCCUCUGCAGGUAGAACGCUAAGGUGCGUCUGAGGUUGAGGGAAUGAAGUCGGCACGCCUCAGCAGAAACAUGGGGUUUCAGGAAUAAAAUGGACACCCAGCGCUUCUAGGAGAUGUAGAAAGAACAAAGAUGCUGAUCUGAACUCAUGGAUGCAAUGACCUACUACGAGCCAAUCGCUGAGAUAUGGGAAAACUGUGUAACCCUGACAUUUCAUUUUGGCUGCCACCAUAAAGAAGACCUUUGUAAAUACUUUGAGUGCUGUUGCUAGUCCAAAGGGAAGGUCUCUGAACUGCAAAUGUUCCUGACCCACUCGAAACCAAAAGGAACUUUCUGUGGGACAGAUGAAUAUCUACAUGGAAAUAGGCAUCCUUCAUGUUGCUUGCCACAAACCACAUUUCCUCCUGUAGAGAGGGGAUUAUUGAUGCUAGUCUAACCAUCUUAAAUUUGGCUUUCGAAUAAAGGUGCUCAGCUGUUGAAGGUCCAGAA
Molecule: non-coding RNA, 734 nt
Organism: Chrysemys picta bellii (western painted turtle)
Lineage: Eukaryota; Metazoa; Chordata; Testudines; Emydidae
Source: RefSeq, a predicted model, not a curated record